RNAcentral lists this ribosomal RNA (469 nucleotides) under uncultured bacterium. Its description in RNAcentral is "bacterial SSU rRNA". It matches the Rfam family "Bacterial small subunit ribosomal RNA", at positions 28 to 526 of the family's 1533-position model. The record is from RNAcentral.
GAUGAACGCACAAGACGUGCCUAACACAUGCAAAUCGAAUGAAAACAAUUUAAUUAAAUUGUUUUCAUGGUGAACGGGUGAGUAACACAUAAGAAUCAGCUUUUAGAUAAGGCAUAAAAGAGUAAUAUCUUGGUAAUUCCUUAUAUGCGCAGCAGUGCUUAAAAAGGGGACUCCCGUCUAAAAACGAGCUUAUGCCUGAUUAGCUAGUUGGCGAGUUAAAAGCUCACCAAGGCGAAGAUCAGUAGCUGGCCUGAGAGGGCGGCCAGCCACAUUGGGACUGAGACACGGCCCAAACUCCUACGGGAGGCAGCAGUGGGGAAUUUUCCGCAAUGGGCGAAAGCCUGACGGAGCAACGCCGCGUGAGGGAUGAAGGCCUCUGGGCUGUAAACCUCUUUUAUCAAGGAAGAAGAUCUGACGGUACUUGAUGAAUAAGCCACGGCUAAUUCCGUGCCAGCCGCCGCCGUAACAC